RNAcentral lists this ribosomal RNA (246 nucleotides) under uncultured bacterium. Its description in RNAcentral is "partial 16S ribosomal RNA". It matches the Rfam family "Bacterial small subunit ribosomal RNA", at positions 1246 to 1500 of the family's 1533-position model. The record is from RNAcentral.
GAUGCUACCGGGCGACCGGAUGCGGAUCUCGAAAGCCUGUCCCAGUUCGGACUGGAGUCUGCAACCCGACUCCACGAAGUUGGAUUCGCUAGUAAUCGCGCAUCAGCCAUGGCGCGGUGAAUACGUUCCCGGGCCUUGUACACACCGCCCGUCAAGCCAUGGGAGCCGGGGGCGCCUGAAGUCCGGGACCGCAAGGACCGGCCUAGGGCGAAACUGGUAACUGGGGCUAAGUCGUAACAAGGUAAC